Molecule: ribosomal RNA, 473 nt
Filed under: uncultured organism
Description: partial 16S ribosomal RNA
Rfam family: Bacterial small subunit ribosomal RNA
Source: RNAcentral
UACACUCCUACGGGAGGCAGCAGUGGGGAAUAUUGCACAAUGGGCGCAAGCCUGAUGCAGCCAUGCCGCGUGUAUGAAGAAGGCCUUCGGGUUGUAAAGUACUUUCAGCGGGGAGGAAGGCGAUAAGGUUAAUAACCUUGUUGAUUGACGUUACCCGCAGAAGAAGCACCGGCUAACUCCGUCCCAGCAGCCGCGGUAAUACGGAGGGUGCAAGCGUUAAUCGGAAUUACUGGGCGUAAAGCGCACGCAGGCGGUCUGUCAAGUCGGAUGUGAAAUCCCCGGGCUCAACCUGGGAACUGCAUUCGAAACUGGCAGGCUAGAGUCUUGUAGAGGGGGGUAGAAUUCCAGGUGUAGCGGUGAAAUGCGUAGAGAUCUGGAGGAAUACCGGUGGCGAAGGCGGCCCCCUGGACAAAGACUGACGCUCAGGUGCGAAAGCGUGGGGAGCAAACAGGAUUAGAAACCCGGGUAGUCCC